Long non-coding RNA from Drosophila subpulchrella, 708 nucleotides. RefSeq lists it as uncharacterized. NCBI's taxonomy places the organism in Eukaryota, Metazoa, Arthropoda, Insecta, Diptera, Drosophilidae. The record is from RefSeq and is a predicted model, not a curated record. The transcript has 3 exons.
GUCAAAAUUUCAAUUUCAACUAAAAGGCUAAAAGCCCGAGAUAUAUAUUUUCUGAGUUGCGUCCAGUAUUCUUUGAGUGGCAUCCAGUUUUCUGAGUGGGAUUCAGCAAUCGGUGUGGCUGCCAGCCAUAAAGGAUAGCCAGCGAAAAAAUUUAAAGUACUUAUAAAAUUCCGGGUGGAAACCCCAGUCAAUGCUGCCACAAGUUGCCGCCAAAGGCGCAUCUUAUUGGUUCGGCCAAUUUGCUGGAGGACUUACCGCCUCACGAAUGCCAAAAUCAAAAUCGCGGGGCACAAUCGUCAGGUUGGCCCGCGAGGAAUGAUUUUUAGAAAUUAGUGCCCUGAAGUACACCUGCUUAUUGGCUAGGCAUAUCGUACCCGAAGUGCAGAUUUGCAGAGCGGACCAGUUGGCAGUUUAAUUCGACUAUAUAACCUGUUCCGAUGCCCAUCAUGCCGCGCGUCCGCACACCAGCCGAGUUUUAAGGAUGUGCGCGAAUCCGUCUGGGAGAUUCCCGAGUGGAAUAUCGCUGCCGCAGAUGUAGGGAUUUAAGCCCGUUUACGUGUAAAAGCGCUGCAUGUGUGAACGGCCUUAACCUAGCGUGGUACACUGGCCAACCGGGCUUAACCUUGAUUAAAGCCUAGUACUCAGAUCGGCUAAGAGUUUCACUAGUCGAAAAAUCUUAUUCUUUGUAGUGUGGCCGAAGUUUUCAAA